This 68-nucleotide transfer RNA is filed under the name Pulchriphyllium bioculatum. Its description in RNAcentral is "tRNA-Gln". The record is from RNAcentral. Lineage: Eukaryota; Metazoa; Arthropoda; Insecta; Phasmatodea; Phylliidae.
UAUACUUUGGUGUAAGGGCAUAUUAAUUUUUGAUGUUUUUGGUGACAGGUCAAUUCUGUCGAGUAUAA